This 448-nucleotide ribosomal RNA is filed under the name uncultured Hydrogenophilus sp. Its description in RNAcentral is "bacterial SSU rRNA". It matches the Rfam family "Bacterial small subunit ribosomal RNA", at positions 929 to 1382 of the family's 1533-position model. The record is from RNAcentral. Lineage: Bacteria; Pseudomonadati; Pseudomonadota; Hydrogenophilia; Hydrogenophilales; Hydrogenophilaceae.
GCGGUGGAGCAUGUGGUUUAAUUCGAUGAUAACGCGAAAACCUUACCCGGGCUUGACAUGCAUCAGACAGGCGUAGAGAUACGCCUCCGCGAGGCUGGUGCACAGGGUGCUGCAUGGUUGUCGUCAGCUCGUGUCGUGAGAUGUUGGGUUAAGUCCCGCAACGAGCGCAACCCCUACCGUGUGUUACCAUCAUUAAGUUGGGGACUCGCACGGAACUGCCGGUGAUAAACCGGAGGAAGUGGGGAUGACGUCAAGUCCUCAUGGCCCUUAUGGGUAGGGCUUCACACGUCAUACAAUGGUCGGUACAGAGGGUUGCCAAGCCGCGAGGCGGAGCCAAUCCCACAAAGCCGAUCGUAGUCCGGAUUGUUCUCUGCAACUCGAGAGCAUGAAGUCGGAAUCGCUAGUAAUCGCAGGUCAGCAUACUGCGGUGAAUACGUUCCCGGGUCUU